CAGUUAUUUCCCUAUUCGACAACAGCUAUAGGUGCUGACUUGAGGCUGCUUGAACAACGAAACACUUUCGGAAUAUAUUAAAAGCCUGUCCACAAAGAACGGGAUAAGCAAGCCUCACAGAAGUAAUUCGAAGCAGCAUAAAGGGAGGAAGGAGUGGACAUUGUACAUGGUGGACGUGAUAACGGGAUCUACGUCUGGCGCAGGGACAGGCUGUGACAUCUCUCUUAUACUACUUGGGGACAAGGGUAUGGUCACCAAGAAACUGCGGAAGAAAGGUUUUGUAUUCAAGCUGGGAUCUGUAGGUCAUUUUGAGUUUCGUGAACUAUUUGUUGGCAAACUAAAAACGAUUAAGGUGAAAAUCGUGAAGAAAGGAAUCGUCCCAUCUUGGGCUUGGCAGCUCGACGCGAUGACAGUUACUGUUAUGGAUGGUGUGCACACGUACAAGUACGUCGCCAGUGUAAACAUUUGGCUCGGUGAAUUUUCUGGGAAAACUUCCAUGGAAACAGUUGACUUGGCAUUUAAACAGCUGUAAAAAUUACAUCGGAUUUAUUUUCACGCGGACCUCGGGACUGAAUAGGACUUAGUACCCCAUGAAUAUAUUGAGAGCCGUCCUAUUAUGAGAAUUGGGUGUUUACAGUGUGUCACCUGGCUACAGUGUUGUAAUCUAUAAACUUCUAUAUAUGUGUUG
Long non-coding RNA from Haliotis rufescens (red abalone), 688 nucleotides. RefSeq lists it as uncharacterized. Lineage: Eukaryota; Metazoa; Mollusca; Gastropoda; Lepetellida; Haliotidae. The transcript is spliced from 5 exons. The record is from RefSeq and is a predicted model, not a curated record.